RNAcentral lists this long non-coding RNA (774 nucleotides) under Malus domestica (apple). RNAcentral describes it as "long non-coding RNA (MDOM_LNC004932)". The record is from RNAcentral. Lineage: Eukaryota; Viridiplantae; Streptophyta; Magnoliopsida; Rosales; Rosaceae.
AAAAAAAAAAAAAAAAAAAAAAAAAAAAAAAACAGCUUCAUCCAAAAAAGCUUCACCCGAAAAGCUUCACCUCCAAAGCUUCACCCACAAAGCUUCACCUCAAAAGCUUCACCCACAAAGCUUCACCCAAAAAAGCUUCACCCACAAAGCUUCACCCAAAAAAAGCUUCACCCGAAAAGCUUCACCUCCAAAGCUUCACCCAAAAAAGCUUCACCUACAAAGCUUCACCCAAAAAAAGCUUCACCCGAAAAGCUUCACCUCCAAAGCUUCACCCACAAAGCUUCACCUCAAAAGCUUCACCCACAAAGCUUCACCCAAAAAAGCUUCAACCCGAAAAGCUUCACCUCCAAAGCUUCACAAGGGCCAAAGCUUCACUUAAAAAAGCUUCACCUCCAAAGCUUCACCCACAAAGCUUCACCUAAAAAGCUUCACCCACAAAGCUUCACCCAAAAAAGCUUCACCCGAAAAGCUUCACCUCCAAAGCUUCACCCACAAAGCUUCACCUCAAAAGCUUCACCCACAAAGCUUCACCCAAAAAAGCUUCACCCGAAAAGCUUCACCUCCAAAGCUUCACAAGGGCCCAAAGCUUCACUUAAAAAAGCUUCACCUACAAAAGCUCACCUAAAAAAGCUUCACCUAGAAAGCUUCAUCUACAAAGCUUCACCAUCAAAGCUUCACCUAGAAAGCUUCAACACCAAAGCUUCACCUACAAAGCUUCAACACAAAACCUUGCUCCAAAUAAACAAAUUUUGUUCACAAAACAACCUAAACAUU